RNA transcript from Brienomyrus brachyistius, 7825 nucleotides. RefSeq lists it as uncharacterized. Lineage: Eukaryota; Metazoa; Chordata; Actinopteri; Osteoglossiformes; Mormyridae. The record is from RefSeq and is a predicted model, not a curated record. The transcript has 5 exons.
GGGAAUGGGUGUGGGGACUAAUGCCAGCAAUGUCCAAACAAUAGUUAUAUGUUACGUCAACUGGAAAGAGACCAACAAGAACAGUAGACGCCCUAAACGGGGUAUAAAAGUUAGACACAGACAACAGGGAGCUGAGCUUCCCUUGGUGUGUACUUUUGUGCAUCUGAGAGUGGCUCCCGGAUCGAUCUGUACAACAAAUAAAGAGAGCUGACUCACAACCAUCCUUUGCCUCACGAAUGCAUCUUUUCCUCAUCAACGGACUCGGUGGAGUCUAACUCCAACAAUUUGGGGGCUCGUCCGGGAUGAGGAGAAGGUUGUUUGGAUUGGAACCAGAGACGAGGUCUUGGGGACGCAGACAGCCACGGGCGCCCAGCAAUUAGGUGAGCAGAGCCUGUUUUAUCGAAUUCUGCAUAUUGGCGAUUGCUAAAUAAAGUGGCUGGAAGUGUCUCAGGAUCUGUCGACCAAUAUUGUGGCGAGGGCCUGUUGUGCGUAGCUCUGACGGCCUGUGAACAGAGGGUACGGGACCCCGUAGUAGAACCUAUUGGCGGAGGAUUUGAGUCCACCGUCGUGUCCUUGGUUUGGCAACCCACCUACUGCUGACCAGCAGUAGGAAAGCUGGGAUUGAGCGUCCCGGGAAAUUCAGGACCCCCGAACAGCUAAAUUGUUUGGAGGAGUAAGGUUCAUCCUCCUUAAAACGGGUUGAAGUCCCGAGGUGAAAGUCCUCAAAGUAUUGGGUUAAAUUCCCGAGAUUAGAGUACUCAAAGCAUCGGGCUAAAAAGUGUACACAGCGCUAUUUACUAUUUACUAUUUCGCGUGUGUAAGUGCGUGUUUACUAUUCACUAUUCCAGUGUGUGUGAGUGGGUUUACCAUUUACUAUUUACUGUUUUGAGUGGUUCGGUGAUUGUGUGUGAGUGUGGGUUUAGGUUUUGGUGGUGUUUGUUAGUGGGGCACUCAGAGACAACUAAGAGGUGUACUAAGUGUGGGUGGAUAAAUCCAUCCCCUGAGGCACAAGGGUUGUUGGAUCAGGAGAAGUGUAGGUCAGAUAAGCUAAAACAUGGAUCAUGAAUUUGAGAGAGAAUUGGAUGACGGAGGCUGGGGUCCACCAGUGCGCGGGCGGUGGAAGCCUCUGUGUGAGCAGAUGCAGCUGUUAAAAUUAGCAGUGGGAAAAACAGCUCAGGAAAAGGGCCGAGAGAGAGAGACGGCAGAUGCGUGGAAGCGUAUGGGGAUUUCAGUGAAAUGUGCAGGAUACAAACCGGAGGAUAAGCAAUCAUUAGGAGCACUUUUAUGGCGUAAGGAAAAGGAGCAUAAAGGCCUGAAAGAUGAGGCAGGACGCGAGCUAGUGAAAGCGAGGGUGUUACAACGGGGAAAGUGGAGAAAAGAGGGAGAGAAACAGGAGCAGGAGAGGCGAGCGUGGGCUCGCCUAGCCAUUUUCUGGCAGGGUAUCGAUCACCUGCACAGGGAAAGUGGAGAUAACGAUAACUGUGACCCAGCCCCAGAUGGGCAGGGGGCUGGGAAAGGCGACAAACAACCCCCAGCGUACACCAGCCGAGGGGGUUUUCCCACCGCUCCCCCUGCGCACAUGUAUCCAGUAAUACAUGUUACUGGUGGAACGGUUCAGGUUCAAACGAAGGGAGAAGGGAGCCUCCUAGGUGGGGAUUGCUGUAGUGUGGAGGAAAAAGAUUCAGAUUGUGAAACCUCUAGGGAAUCCGAGGGAGAGAGUAAGGGAACCCCUGGAAAAGGCAUAACUAAACAAGCAUUUCAGGAAAGGGUGAUCAGAGAGCGAAAGGAGGAGGCAGCCCAGGGUAAUCGAGGCAGCCUCACCCCUCUCUGCGAACGGAGCCGUGUCCAGAGAGGGGAAGUGGAGAUUAUCGGUGAAUUGUCUGGGUAUCGUGAUGAGGAGGAGGAUGAGGAUGAGAAGGUGUUGAUCGAUUUGGAAGGUGAGCAAGACGAAGGGCUAGAGCCUGGGAAAAGGGAAUCCUCAGGGAAAAUGACCCUCAGGUCCCGCAGUCUAAAGCGGCGAACAAACCUGAAGCCUAAGCAGUUUCCCCUGUUAAGGGGAGCUUCAGGGGACCCUGAGAGAUACAAGCCGUUCUCUUUAGGAGACGUGCAGGCACUAGCGGAUAAGAUGCCCCCCCCUGCAGAUGGGGGAGGACAUUGGAUGGAUAAAUUAGACCAGCUGACGCAGGGAACAAAGUUGGCCUUGGGUGAUUUCAGAGCAGUGGCUGCGAGGUGCCUAACUAAACACUCUCUGCAGGAAAUAGAGGAAAUGGCAGGGACACUCACUCGCGGUGACAGUGUGACUCUAACAGACGUAGUGCUGGGCUUGGGUGAAGCCAUGCGGGAGAUGUUCCCCGCCCCAAGUGGGGCUAGCGUGCCAAAAUUUACUUGGGAACCUAAAAUACCUCCCAGGGAAUAUCUGGACAAAUGUAAGGAGGACUGGAUUCGGAGAACGGGGUGUCACCCUGGGCAGGCGGGAGUUCAGCAGGAGUGGUUCAGGCGAGCGGUCCUGGAAGGUGUCCCUGAGCAGGUGAAAACAGCUAUUUUGGCGAAUCCUGAUCUCCCAGGCGCUGAUUCCCCCGUGUGGGACAGACAUGUGUUGCAUCAUCUCCAGAGAGCGAGGGAUGAAGCCACAAAAGAGGAAGGCAGCUUGAAAGAGUUACAGACACAGCUGUUGAAGCUGCAGGUGGCAGAAGCAAGACAAAAAGCACAGACUUACAAAAAGAAGGGGCAGGGGAGACAGAUGGUGGCAGGAGCACCACCUCCCCGGUUCGGCGCAUGGGUCGGACAAAACCCCAAUUACAGUAAUCGAGGUUGGGGUCCCCAGCCAUGAGGAAGAGGCCGUGGGGGUCGAGGCCGGGGAGCCGGGAACUGGGGGCGGGGCCGGGGUAUGUCGCAAAGGUGGCCACCGCAGGGAACCUGUUACAGGUGUGGUAGGGCUGGCCACUGGGUCAGAGAGUGCCCAACAGGACGGGUCCCUCCCAGGGGACCCCCAGCAGAACAAGUGACCGCACCUACCCCACAGGCUGUUCCUGGAGGGGGACAGUACCCCACCCUCACUGGAUCAGAGGACUGGGAGAGGGGGACUCCUCCACGGGAGGCCCGGGGACACGGGGAAGGCAGACCCCAUGCUGUCCCUAAUGGUCAUGGACAAAGAACUGCCGUUCUUGGUGGACACAGGGGCCACAUAUUCGACAUUGAAUGUGAUGCCUAACCAACGACAUCUUCCACCACUACAGUGACCGUUGUGGGCUUCUCCAGGAAGGAACAGAGGCUGCCAGUGACUAAGCCUGUGAGAGUGCGGUGGGGGGACAGACCUUUCUACACCCGUUUGUGGUCUCCGCUGCAGCGCCUGUGAACCUUCUGGGCGGGACAUGCUGGUGAAGCUGGGAGCUUCAAUUUUGUGCAAUGCUGAUGGUUUGGUUGUCACCCUCCCAGAAGGGAUCCGCCUGCCAUGUGGCGGAGCGACGGGUGGCAUGGGGCAGUGGCUGACUGUGGCUGCGACUGUGCCCUGCUCUGCCUAGCGGCGACGGUGCCCUGCUCUGCCUAGCGGCGACGGUGCCCUGCUCUGCCUAGCGGCGACUGUGCCCUGCUCUGCCUAGCGGCGGCUCAGCUUUACUUUGCCUUAUUGCUGCUGUCUAGUGACAUUUGCACCGUUUCGCGCUUUGCGCUUCCGGUUUGUCCAUACUCUGUCUAGCCUAUAGCAGGGUGAGUCGCAAGCGGGUCCAUAGCUGGGGGCAGGGGGGUGUGCGUGCCCACAUGAGUGCGAGCGGGGGUUGGAGAGUCUGACUGGUGCCCCGCUUCCUAAGGGUUUGUGUUUUGUUUUGAUUGUAUUAUGUUUGUUUUGUUGAUACAUUUGUUCUGUUUUGAAUGGGAUUUUUAUUGUGUAUUAAUGUAAUGGUUUUGUAUUUUAUUUGUUUCUUUUAGACUGCAGUGUUUUCUUUGGGUUUUGCGUGAUUUUGUUUGGUUUGCGGUUACAUCUUGUUUUUCCCUCCUCGCUUGUGCCCGCCCGACUCUGGCUGUUCUAGGUCCCGGCGCCCAGCCUUAGAUCGGCAGGAAGUGGCUGCUGGUACGCGGCGGUGCUCCAAGCUUAUGGUGCUCGGAUCGACUGAUUACUCUUUUUAUGGUUUUAUUGUGUAAUAAAAGUGUGUGUUCGGAACAACAUCUCUCCGCUGUCCAGUGUGGAGGACCAGUGUGCCUUUGCCCGGGGGUAGGGCGAUUUAACUUUCUCUGGGUGUAAUACCUGGGGUGGCGUAGUCGGACUAACGUGUGGCUAUUGGUACCAUUGUUUGGUACUAUUUGGCAGUAUUACUCUCACCACCACUCGCCACAUGUGGUUCCACAGAGACAGGUAAGGAUCUCUUCCAUCAGCCUUGGCCUUUGUUAGCAUUAGCUUCACUGUCUGUACUCCUCUUUCUGCCAUUCCAUUUGACUGUGCAUGGUGGGGACUUGAAGUUUUGUGAAUGAACUCCCACUUUUUCGCAAAAGCUUGGAAUUCAUAAAUUAAGAAUGGCUUGUCUGUUAAAUAAUAUUAAUAAAUAGUUGGCUAUGUCAGAUAGCUUUUGUGAGAUACCAUCUUACACUUUGUCAAUGAAAAAUAAAAAGAGAAACCUUGUUCGGGCAAAUUUGUUUGUAGAUGGGCUGGAUCUGGCUAUUUGCUGACCUAUACAAUAGGACAUGCAGGAUUAGAAGAUGGAUGGAUGGACAUACAAGUAAUUGUUUGGGGGCAGGUUGCAUAACGCUCAUGUGAUUCUUCCAUGUUCAGGAUGAUUGGGGUAGAAGCUGUUCCUCAAAGCCAUAAAUCAUCAUAUUUAAAUAACAAUGUGAUGGACAGGCACCCCUCCAGGGUGUACCCCAGCCUUGUGAUGGACAGACACCCCUCUAGUGUGUACCCCAGCCACAUGAUGGAGAGGCACCCCUCUAGCGUGUACCCCAGCCACGUGAUGGACAGACAUCCCUCUAGCGUGUACCCCAGCCUUGUGAUGGACAGACACCCCUCUAGUGUGUACCCCAGCCACAUGAUGGAGAGGCACCCCUCUAGCGUGUACCCCAGCCACGUGAUGGACAGACAUCCCUCUAGUGUGUACCCCAGCCACGUGAUGGACAGACACCCCUCUAGCAUGUACUCCAGCCACGUGAUGGACAGGCACCCCUCCAGGGUGUACCCCAGCCACGUGAUGGACAGACAUCCCUCUAGCGUGUACCCCAGCCACGUGAUGGACAGGCACCCCUCUAGCGUGUACCCCAGCCACGUGAUGAACAGACACCCCUCUAGCGUGUACUCCAGCCACGUGAUGGACAGGCACCCCUCCAGGGUGUACCCCAGCCACGUGAUGGACAGACAUCCCUCUAGCGUGUACCCCAGCCACGUGAUGGACAGACACCCCUCUAGCGUGUACCCCAGCCACAUGAUGGACAGGCACCCGUCCAGUUCAUGGUAUGGCUCUGCUGGUCACAAUUUAGCUGAAGAAACGGCACUGAUCAUCAGAAAGGUCCAGUGGAAUCAUGAAGUCCCAUCAGAUCUCUGCCUUCUUCCUCCUGAUGACAGUGCUGCUGUCCUCCACUCUGGCUCAACAUGGCAAUAGACCAAAGCAGUGCUGUUUUGCAUACUUACCUAUAAAAGUGAGGAUGGACCUGAUAGAUAGAUAUGAGGAGACCAGACAGGACUGCGCUAAACCUGGAACUAUAUUUUACACCAAAAAGGGCAAAGAAGUGUGUGUCGAUCCCAGUGAUCCUUGGGUUCAGCGGACAAAGAAGAAGCUGGAUCAGCGCUUAUUUCAAUCUGUCAGUGGCGGACUGGGACAAUAAUUCAGGCCGGGAAUUUGACUCCACUCCCAGGCCACCUCUGCUGCUGCAGUCACAUUUACCAGUAACUUUCACUACAUCAAUCACACGUUCCAAGACCUGCCUUCUCUUUCUAACCUGGUCUCAAUGGACGGUCAUUUGCUUAUCAGUCAGAAGGGUAUGGAUAUCUGCUUUGUUGACUCUAAGAAAAAAGGCUUCAGCACUUUCUCUAUGGAUACUGCUUCUCUCAUGUUCCUGUACUCUCUGAUGGGUAUGUUUCCAGGCCUGCAUACCUCCUUUGACAAAUGCACUGUCACUGCCUAAAGGUUUUGCAAAUGCAAGACAUACUGAGCAGAAUAGGGAGUGAUUACUUUCAUUGUAUGUCAGCCAUUUUCUGUUUGUGCCAUCUUUUGAAUGUAAUACAUCAGGAAUGGCUCUUUCAGAUGUUUGAAUUGGGUGAUACUUAAAAAAAAAUCUAAAUCCUUAGACUGUGGACGGGCAAAAUAAUCAAAAGAGAUAUCAAGGCUUUCACUGUCUCCUUCACCUUUCCCUGAAUCAUUCUCUCUCUCACUCUGCACAUCUAGUUGCUCUGCAAUAUGAAAUAAGCGGGUUCAAUAAUCUGUAUUUAUAAUUGUGCAGCCAUCAGUUGUAUGUCCCCAAAAUCACAGUCCUACUACUGAUCUUAUAAAUCAUAAAAAGCACAUGUUGUUUAAAAAGUAUAGCCUGCUGGCUGCAUGUUUAGUUUUGCUUAUCUUAAACUUUACCUGAAGGUUCCUGCUCUGACUCAAACGCUGAACUGUCCACCACCUCUAGCUCAACAGCAGGAGCAUUUGCAGCACUAGUGCUACUGACGCUUCCUUCGUCACCUUUUCAAAAUUAAUAAAUAAACAAACAAACAUUGUAGGCUACAUAUUGUAGACUAGAAAUGAAAAAUCAAAAUAACUAAUACUGUAUUCUUUUCCAUACCAUCUACUUGAUUUAUUUAUUAUUUAAAACAAUUUGACCCACUAACACUAUUCUGUCUACUUUUUAUUCAUUUUUAUUUAUUAUAUAAAAAAUAUGCUACAUGUAGACGAAACGAAACUUGACACAGCACAGCAGCACUUACAUAUUGUUGCUCGUUUGUUGGUUUAAUUUUAUCUAUUGUGAUUAUCUAAGUGAUUUGGAUGAAAGUGUUCGUCUGCCAAAUUAUUAUAAAUAUAAUGUAAAUGUGGGGCGGCAUGGUGGUGCAGUGGUUAGCACUGUUGCCUCACACCUCUGGGACCCGGGUUCGAGUCUCCGCCUGGGUCACAUGUGUGUGGAGUUUGCAUGUUCUCCCCAUGUCGUCGUGGGGUUUCCUCCGGGUACUCUGGUUUCCCCCCACAGUCCAAAAACAUGCUGAGGCUAAUUGGAGUUGCUAAAUUGCCCAUAGGAGUGCAUGCGUGAGUGACUGGUGUGUGAGUGUGCCCUGCGAUGGGCUGGCCCCCCAUCCUGGGUUGUUCCCUGCCUCGUGCCCAUUGCUUCCGGGAUAGGCUCCGGACCCCCCGUGACCCAGUAGGAUAGGCGGUUUGGAAAAUGGAUGGAUGGAUGGAUAAUGUAAAUGUAAUCUUGACCAACCUGUUCCCUUACUGGCGAACAUGGCUGGGAUUUUGCAGCUGCGUCUGCGGCCAGGGCUUUUUUCCUUUUUAUACGCUCCCUCUCUGCUCCUCCUCUGCGUUUACGCUCCAUUUUUUGAACGAUUUAGUCAGAUUUACCCUGUCUCUGGAUAUAGCCAGAUAUUAGGCAGUGCGUCGCUGACGUUGGGUCAUGUGGGAGUGUAAUUUUCCCUCCGCCAUUGCCUGAUUCGUAGAUUGAGAGAUCCGUCAAUUAAUUCGUAGUUGCACACCAGCCUAUCACAUGCCAGGCUGAUCGUCUGCACAGCGGCAGCCGGCAGGCCAGAACGACCGUCAGGCCACCGGGAAAUGUCCCGGUGCUCCCGAUGGCCAGUCCGCCCCUGGUCAUUAAUGUUGGUUGUCGCCUGUCUGUGGUUUCCCUGUCUGCCCGAAAUAAACCCCGUUUUCCCGUA